Small nucleolar RNA from Rattus norvegicus (Norway rat), 140 nucleotides. Ensembl annotates it as small nucleolar RNA SNORA48. Lineage: Eukaryota; Metazoa; Chordata; Mammalia; Rodentia; Muridae. The record is from Ensembl.
ACCCCCUGGCAAUGGGCAGCGAGACAUCUUAAUGGUGGUGAUGUUCUUUUAUCAGACGCAGAGCAGAUGGCAGUCCUUUGUUCAUCCUAGAUUGAUGCUUGUCUUGGUGGCCAAAGCUGUUUUAUGCCAAGGACAUAUAA